RNAcentral lists this non-coding RNA (203 nucleotides) under Leptotrichia sp. OH3620_COT-345. RNAcentral's name for it is "6S RNA". It matches the Rfam family "6S / SsrS RNA". Rfam says of the family: E. coli 6S RNA was the first non coding RNA to be sequenced, but its function was unknown until recently. It consists of 184 nucleotides that fold into an extended hairpin structure with a large single-stranded internal bulge. The record is from RNAcentral. Lineage: Bacteria; Fusobacteriati; Fusobacteriota; Fusobacteriia; Fusobacteriales; Leptotrichiaceae.
AAGAGUCUGGUCUAUUCGUGACCGACAAUAUAAUUUUUGGGCUUUACUCUUUCUUAAUGGGGUCGGAUUGUUGUAUGUUGAAUCAGGUACAUCACGGCGGUUUUAUACUUAGCACGGAUUCUGUACAACUUACAAAUAUGACUACCACCUGUAACAACUACAGGCGACCAAAAAUUUAGUCGGAACGAUAGAUUGGAUUUUUU